RNAcentral lists this ribosomal RNA (474 nucleotides) under uncultured bacterium. RNAcentral describes it as "bacterial SSU rRNA". It matches the Rfam family "Bacterial small subunit ribosomal RNA", at positions 48 to 507 of the family's 1533-position model. The record is from RNAcentral.
GAAAUGAUAUGAAGAACUUGUUCAGAUUUGAUUUUCAACAUUGCAAUGAGUGGCGAACGGGUGAGUUAACACGUGGGAAACCUACCUCUUAGCAGGGGAUAACAUUUGGAAACAAUGCUAAUACCGUAUAAUAAUUAAAACCGCAUGGUUUUAGUUUAAAAGAUGGUCUUGCUAUCACUAAGAGAUGGUCCCGCGGUGUAUUAGUUAGUUGGUGAGGUAAUGGCUCACCAAGACAAUGAUACAUAGCCGAGUUGAGAGACUGACCGGCCACAAUGGGACUGAGACACGGCCCAUACUCCUACGGGAGGCAGCAGUAGGGAAUCUUCCACAAUGGACGAAAGUCUGAUGGAGCAACGCCGCGUGUGUGAUGAAGGGUUUCGGCUCGUAAAACACUGUUGUAAGAGAAGAAUGACAUUGAGAGUAACUGUUCAAUGUGUGACGGUAUCUUACCAGAAAGGAACGGCUAAAUACGUG